Molecule: ribosomal RNA, 511 nt
Filed under: uncultured bacterium
Lineage: Bacteria
Description: bacterial SSU rRNA
Rfam family: Bacterial small subunit ribosomal RNA
Source: RNAcentral
UCUGGCUCAGGAUGAACGCUAGCUACAGGCUUAACACAUGCAAGUCGAGGGGCAGCAUUGGAGUAGCAAUACUCAGAUGGCGACCGGCGCACGGGUGAGUAACACGUAUCCAACCUGCCGCUUACUCGGGGAUAGCCUUUCGAAAGAAAGAUUAAGUACCCGAUGGUAUAAAGAGUUCGCAUGUUCUCUUUAUUAAAGAAUUUCGGUAAGCGAUGGGGAUGCGUUCCAUUAGAUAGUUGGCGGGGUAACGGCCCACCAAGUCUACGAUGGAUAGGGGUUCUGAGAGGAAGGUCCCCCACAUUGGAACUGAGACACGGUCCAAACUCCUACGGGAGGCAGCAGGUGAGGAAUAUUGGUCAAUGGACGAGAGUCUGAACCAGCCAAAAGUAGCGUGAAGGAUGACUGCCCUAUGGGUUGUAAACUUCUUUUAUAAGGGAAUAAAGUGAGGGACGUGUCCCUUUUUGUAUGUACCUUAUGAAUAAGGAUCGGCUAACUCCGUGCCAGCCGCCGC